GAUCAUGGCUCAGGAUGAACGCUGGCGGCGUGCUUAACACAUGCAAGUCGAGCGAAGCACUUAAGUUUGAUUCUUCGGAUGAAGACUUUUGUGACUGAGCGGGCGACGGGGUGAAGGUAACCGCGUGGGUAACCUGCCUCAUACAGGGGGAUAACAGUUAGAAAUGGCUGCUAAUACCGCAUAAGACCACAGUACUGCAUGGUACAGUGGUAAAAACUCCGGGUGGUAUGAGAUGGACCCG
This 241-nucleotide ribosomal RNA is filed under the name uncultured bacterium. RNAcentral describes it as "partial 16S ribosomal RNA". It matches the Rfam family "Bacterial small subunit ribosomal RNA", at positions 15 to 233 of the family's 1533-position model. The record is from RNAcentral.